This 496-nucleotide long non-coding RNA is filed under the name Mus caroli (Ryukyu mouse). RNAcentral describes it as "lncRNA (MGP_CAROLIEiJ_G0006391.1)". The record is from RNAcentral. Lineage: Eukaryota; Metazoa; Chordata; Mammalia; Rodentia; Muridae.
UUUCCUUGCCAUUUGUCCCUGAGAAGCGGUCUUCCGAUCCUUCCUCUUUCGGUGCUGACGGCUCCCGCGGCUCUUCACGCUGAGAUGUUUCACUGACUUCUGCCUGAGAUCUGGAGAAGGAACACUGCCCAGUAGAUGANCAUGUGUGAAAAAUAACUUCCAAGGAACUUACAUCAUGUGCGCAGGGACUGUGCUAAACAGAAAACUGUCAGUCACUGCGGGAAUGUGGCUUACUGAUCGCCGCGAUCGCCCCCGGCCGCCGCAUCUGUUUCUCCGGUCUCACGCAUAGGCUCCCUGUCUUGCAUGGGAGGGAGCAGACCCAGGGGACACCAGACCAACUUGAGUUCACCUGGGUUGACUAUCCACACCUCUCUCCUCUGUUUUUGGUAUCCCGUGAGGUGUGCUGUGUCUCCUCUACCCUGUGAUUCCUGUUCAUCUCAGGAAGCAGCUGAAAGGGUCAGGAAGGUCCUGGGACAUGAAACUACUGUUUGGAUGA